RNAcentral lists this ribosomal RNA (488 nucleotides) under uncultured Lachnospiraceae bacterium. RNAcentral's name for it is "bacterial SSU rRNA". It matches the Rfam family "Bacterial small subunit ribosomal RNA", at positions 37 to 507 of the family's 1533-position model. Lineage: Bacteria; Bacillati; Bacillota; Clostridia; Lachnospirales; Lachnospiraceae. The record is from RNAcentral.
UGGCGGCGUGCUUAACUACAUGCAAGUCGAACGAAGUACACUUAAGUACGGAGUUACUUACGGUUUGUAAGUCUUAUUUGUACUGAGUGGCGGACGGGUGGAGUAACGACGUGGGUAACCGUGCCUCAUACAGGGGGAGUAACAAGUUAGAAAUGACUGCUAAUACCGCAUAAGCGCACGGUCUCGCAUGGGACAGUGUGAAAAACUCCGGUGGUAUGAGAUGGACCCGCGUCUGAUUAGCUGGUUGGUGAGGUAAGGGGCGUCACCAAGGCGACGAUCAGUAGCCGGCCUGAGAGGGUGAACGGCCACAUUGGGACUGAGACACGGCCCAAACUCCUACGGGAGGGCAGCAGUGGGGAAUAUUGCACAAUGGGGGAAACCCUGAUGCAGCGACGCCGCGUGAAGGAAGAAGUAUUUCGGUAUGUAAACUUCUAUCAGCAGGGAAGAAAAUGACGGUACCUGACUAAGAAGCCCCGGCUAACUACGUG